UAUAACUGUUACGCUCUGUGUCCUGAUUAGUUGUCGUCCAACCGACCGGCCAACGCGACAAGAAACAAACAAAACACAUCUUAUGGUCGCGUCACGAUCGUAGAUUAGCCUUUGUUUCAUUUUUGUCACGUUGAUGGGUCGGUCAGAUUUACGGUCGCUGUACGACAUACGAUUUGCUUUAUGGAAGUCGGCGAGUUGUAACCUUUCACGCACAAUUACUAAUCGCUUUCCUCGUUGCCGGCUCUCGGUGCUCUUCGAAUGGACUUCGGGUAUAGAUUCGGCGCGACGAGGGCCGCGUAGAAACGGCUGCAGCCCUCAGGGGCAGCGGAUCCCCUUGUGAACGACGUUCCUUCAAGGACCGCCUGUUACUCGGAGACUUCGGUGCAAUAAUGAUCGUUCGUGCGCGCGGCUGUUUAAGCGGUGAAUACUGCGAGUCGUGAAACAAGCGAAUGUGAACGAGAGCGUGACGCAAAUCCGAUGAGAUUAUCGUGUGAUGGGAGCCCGUGACAGCGUACGAAGACCGUCUGAAUUUAGCCCGGCUGGCAUCCACGGUCCCGAGGACCGCCUAAUCACGACGGAUCCUAGCUCUCCUAGCUCUUCAGAUCAAAGUUAAUCCUAGGUAUCCUAGUAUAUCUUCGGUGGUCAGCCCCCCGGGUACGGGAGCAACGCAGACGAGAUGGUUCGGUCGUAAAAGUGCUAUUCUUACAGUUUGCAUUCCUCGGCUCUCGGCGUGUUGAGCAACUCGCUGGCCAGGCUGACGUAUUCCCACGGGAUCCCCCUUGAGUCGACGCUGAGCUCCCGGCCAGCCUGAGGGAACUCCGAGGGGCUCUGGAGGGACGUGAAGCUAGUCUCCAGGCAGAGUCUGUGGGGUGGCGUGCCGGCCAGAUUGCUCGGAUGCGAUUUCACCGGGCUGGACGAGGACAGCAACGCUCUCAUUUCCUGUUCGAUCUCCAUCUCCUGGAUCUCGACGACCUCGCGCGCCUCCGACGCCUCCGUGGACGAUGCGUGACCGGAAGCCAGCCUCUGCGGCUUCGCCGGACCCAGCGUCGUUACAACCUGGCAUAUCCAUACACGCGUGUUUCCAUGUAAAUCGUGCCUCGCCGAAUUGACCAGUCGGUCGUUAGGCCCGCGUUUAAUCGAUCCGGCGAAUGCCGCUCGACUUUCAUCGACAACUGGUGUCGCCACACCGCGUAUCGCUAUUUCGCGGUACUCGAUUAGCGGAUGAUUGAAUGAUAGUCGCCGAUUUAGGAAUAUAAAGUGGUAUGGCGCUGAUGGAACUGAUUUAGCGGUUUACUUCUACAUCCGAUUGUGCGGUUUCCUAAUAUCGAUUGCUCGCCGAGCACGAUGUUACUGGCGGACACUGGCGUCCAAUUCGGGGAUCGAAACGAGCCGGACUCGGUACUACUCUUGGCCGAACUUCGACGAACGAAUAUGUUAAAUAUUUACUAUAGGGGAGCUAUCUUCCUGAUGGGCCUUGACCUUGCUGUGCGCUGUGUUGAGGACACUUCCCUUAGGAAUCUUAGAAAACGUCAAUCGUCGCUCAUUUGUUGUCAAAAUUUUAUUAAGCAACAAUCUGGUGGGCUCUGCAUAUGAUCCGAAUAAAUCCGAUUACAAUAAUAAUAAUAAUGUCACGUCAUUCGACGUGCACUAAUACCUAUGUAAUCAUUGCAUUCAUUUCCGUCUAUCAUCUGGUACUUGUGGCGUGGUGGAGAAUGAUAAGUGUCCGGUGACUUGUGCCAAAUGAAGUUGAAAUUGGGGUGUAUGCCAAAUGAAGUCCAAAGAUUUGGCGGAAAAGUUAUUCCAUCAGAAAGUGUUUAUAUUAUAUUUUCAAAUAUAUAAGGAUAAUAAUAUAAGACAAUAAUUUGUCUAUUUCAUUGAUGGCUGACAAGGGGAAGAUCUUCACUGAGUGGUCAUGAUUGUACUUGUAACUUGUUGUAAUUUGUUAUAAUUCCAUAGAGUAAGUAGGAGACGAUUGCAGACCAAAAAAUAUCAUAUGCAUCAGUAGCAUUGAUUGUAAUUUAACGGGAUCUUGCAAAAUAUCUUAUACAAAUUUUUAGGUUUCAAUUAUCCUGAACACGUACACAGUAAAUCGCAAAGUUCGCAGCAUCCGAAUGUUUCACAUGAAAACAUUCCCGUAACUCUUUCGAUCCCUGAUUGGACGACUGAUUCAGAGCGUAAUUGACAAUGCAGCCGUUUCGACGUUGCACAUUGCGCACCGUCGAAUGGCUUUAUUUCUUCGUAAAACGAAAUAACUGUUCACUGGUCUGCGGCAUGAGAGAGGAGCGGGCAGCUACGUUCCUCGAAAAAUCAGCUGGCAGACGGAUUAAACAAAGAGGCGUAGCGAUUUACGUACAAUAUCCCUCCCUGUAAUCGCGCUUGUAAUCGCGUCGUCGUCAUCCGGCAUAUUGUCCCCGCGGCGAACAAUGGACAGACAUGGCGUUGGUUUUCCCGAUAGCGAUAAAAAAAUAUUGAUUCUCGUAGGAAAUUCCGCCUUGGGAGCGUAGGAACGGGGGAGCCAAGGCGCCGACGGCGCUCCGUAAUCGCGUUACCGGCCCCGGGACCGGGACGCGCGUCCAUAGAGAGGGAACACGGCGCGCCGCGAGUGUGCACAGAAGAAUUCAAUUGUACCGAAUCAUUUCCAACCGGAAUUCGGUCGACGUUUCAAGACCACUUCUCGGACACGUUGGACCAUGAAGGCAUGCUGUGGGUCUCCGCCAGUGGCCUUGAACGAUCGAUUCGUCUCGAAUGAAAAUUUCCGUUCGGUGGACGACAAAGAGGGGCGGCCGAGAGUAGGUUACGCGUUCGUUUUUUGGGAGGGCCGGGGACAAUCGCGGGGACCGUUGUUCUUCACGUUUUCACGAGGCAAUUCCGCUGAGAGCCAAUCCGUAUAUCCCGCGGGCGGCAUUCUCGACAAGAAGAACGGGCUCCGGGGUCGCGUUUCGAUCCGACGAUCGUGCAUUCUUCAUCCCCAUUAUUGGACAAGGCCUCCCGGCGAACGUCCGCUGAAUAUUUCACGCGAAUCGCGGACCCGCCGAGGCAGCUCGGUUAAAAGUGCACGCCGGGUAACGACUCGUUCGUUCGCGGCACGGUUGAAGUCUCCAAAAACGGAUUACGUAACACGCGGCCGGCGAGGCAACGCCGCCAUAAUUUACGCUACAAAGCGGACCGGACUGAUACGCUCGAGUUGAUCCCGCGCUGCUAAAUUCUUUUUUGCAAUUUUACGGGAUGAAAGGACUGCGUACUGGAUAACGGUCAUUAUAGAAAAUAGAAGCGGCCUUGGCAUUUCGAAAAAUUCUCAGACAGAACGAUGACAAAACAACGGGGACAUUCCAGUUCGCCGAAGUGAUCGAGCCAACCUGCACACUGUUAACCCUCCAAUAGCAAACACCGGGUCAUAGGACGCUCGAGAAUCGAUUUCGGAAUUCGCGAACACGUUUCCUGUCCUCUGAAAUUAUUAAUCAUUCCCAUUUUCGAAGAGAGUUUCCCGCAUCGAGGAAUACCACGUACCUUGGGGUCGACGCUCCUUUUUAUGGCAUUGAUAAGAUCGGCCCUCAAGCUCUCCAUUUGCCGGAGCCCUAUCCUCGGCACGACGUCCUUACCAACCACCACAGAUGUAAUAAAUUCCUGCGUGUAUUGCUGCGCGGGCAUGCUCAACAGACCGCCGGGAGGAGCGAACGAAAAGCAGAUCAGGUCCGGAUACUCCUGCUUGAGGAGUAUCGCGAGGAUAGCAGCCGUGCCACCUCCUAAGGAAUGGCCGACCAAUGCAAGACCGAAUUGAUCGGUCCCCCUCGUGGGAUCCUGCAACAGAAUUGUGUGUACUGUAUAUUGUAUGCGGUGUGUAUUGCAUAUUGGAUAUUUUAUAUGGUGUAUUGGAUGUUGUAUAUUUUA
Molecule: non-coding RNA, 3888 nt
Organism: Megalopta genalis
Lineage: Eukaryota; Metazoa; Arthropoda; Insecta; Hymenoptera; Halictidae
Source: RefSeq, a predicted model, not a curated record